This is an RNA transcript of Neltuma alba, 2527 nucleotides long. It is a transcript of the gene named O-fucosyltransferase 10, with no coding region annotated. The record is from RefSeq and is a predicted model, not a curated record. Lineage: Eukaryota; Viridiplantae; Streptophyta; Magnoliopsida; Fabales; Fabaceae. The transcript has 11 exons.
CCUCCCCGAAAAUUACAGGCACGUCUCUGUUUCACUGGCCUCAAACUAGAACUCACAUUGUUCUGUUCUCUCCCUCCCUGUAUUUCAUUACUGGUUUUGAGACUGCAGGAGGUGAUCAUCGUCAUCGCUGGCUUAGCUUGCGAUGAAAUCUAAGAGCCCUGCUCACACUGGAAAUGGCUACGCAACCGAGAGUGGUAGCAGCAGCUCUCCGAGCCCACCAAGGUCACCGCGCCGUCAAUCUUCCACUAACAUAUCUCAUUGCCGCCGACGAUUGCGGCCCAAAGCUCUCUCUCAUACCACCCGUCGUCUAGAAAGUUUUGCCGCCGGUAUCAUUGCUCGCCGGAAUCUCCGCUAUUUCUUCCUUCUGCCACUUCUCUACAUCUCUGGCUUGCUCAUGUGCGUUGGGCCGUUCUCUGCCCUCAUUGGCCAUGCCUCUGUUCCCGGCGCAAUUUAUCGUAGUCACGAGAUUUUUCAAAAGCUUUGGCCCGAUAUUGAGUCUGAUAAUUCGUCCGCAGUGGAGUUAUCUUCGGUGUGGAAGUACAAAAGAAAGUUGAGGGAGCACAAACCUUGUCCAAACAUUACCGCCGUGCAACAUGAACAUUUUGCGUUUUCAGGCCAUAAUGGUUUCCUAAUUGUGGAGGCUAAUGGAGGCCUUAACCAGCAACGUUCUGCAAUUUGCAAUGCUGUGGCCGUGGCUGGACUUUUGAAUGCUAUACUCGUUAUACCUCACUUUGAAUUCCACAAUGUCUGGAGAGAUCCAAGUGAAUUUGGGGAUAUAUACGAUGAAGAUCAUUUUAUAUCCACGCUUGAGGGUUAUGUGAAGGUAGUCAAAGAACUUCCCGAGGUACUAAUGGAGAGGUAUAAUUACAACAUCAGUAAUAUCACUACCAUCCGGGUCCAAGCUUGGGCUCCUGUCAGUUAUUACUUAGGAGUUGUUUAUCCAAUCAUGCGAAAGGAAGGGGCCAUCCGAAUAUCACCAUUUGCGAACCGAUUGGCUAUGAGUGUCCCUCCUCACAUUCAAUUUUUGAGAUGUCUAACUAAUUAUAAAGCACUGAGGUUUGCCUCUUCAAUAUCAAUACUAGCCAAGAAACUGGUUGACCGAAUGAUUGAGAAGAGCUCAAGAACAGAUGGGAAGUAUGUUACUGUGCACCUACGCUUUGAGGAGGACAUGGUGGCAUUCUCCUGUUGUAUAUAUGAUGGAGGAGAGGUGGAAAGGUUGGAGAUGGAUUCAGUUCGAGAAAAAGGAUGGAGGGGGAAAUUUAAGCGAAAAGAUCGUGUCAUUCUACCUAACCUCAAUCGAAUCGAAGGAAAAUGCCCACUUACCCCUUUGGAGGUAGGGAUGAUGUUGCGUGGCAUGGGAUUUGAUAACAAUACGUCAAUAUAUUUGGCUUCUGGGAAAAUAUAUCAGGCAGAGAGAAAUUUGGCUCCUUUAAUAAAGAUGUUUCCCAAUCUGCAUACGAAGGAAUCACUUGCAGCUCCAGAUGAGCUUGCUCCCUUUAAGGAAUAUUCCUCUCAAUUAGCAGCACUGGACUACACAGUAUGCUUGUUUAGUGAGGUGUUCGUAACAACUCAGGGUGGUAACUUCCCUCAUUUUCUGAUGGGUCAUCGAAGAUUUCUGUAUGAUGGACAUGCAAAGACCAUUAACCCUGAUAAGCGCAAGCUUGUUGCUCUCCUGGGGAAUGCUACUGUUAGUUGGCGAAGUUUCAAGGAGCAGAUGGAAGCUAUGCUUGGUGACAAUGACCGGAAAGGAAUCCUUGUACCAAGAGUCAGAAAAAUUAACAGGAAAACUUCAGUCUACACAUACCCGUUACCAGAAUGUAGAUGUCUACAGCAGCUGCAUAACAGUCAAAAUUGACCACAAUCUAGUCAGCCAUGAUGACGACAUUCGAAGAAAAACUUAAAUGAAUAAUGCCGUUCUUCUGAUUGCCUUCUGCGCCACUGAAAUCAUCAGAUUCGUGUCAGUUCAACACCCUUGGUGUUUCACCCUUCUUUGUGUAAUGAUGCUACAUCUUCUGAUUUUGAGGGUAAAGAUGAGUUGUUACUGCCUAAUGCCAAGAUGGGGGUACUGCAGUUCUGAAGACGAGAAAUUCCAUUUUGUCUGAUUUCCUGCCGCUGGAUGAGGAUUUUCUGUGCAUGUUACAUGUUGUCCAUGGUCUGAUGGUUUUCUGGCUUGCCAUGGGAAGGUAGAAGUGGUGAUGCCGCACAACUUUGCUAGUGUUUCUCAGAGAAGCAUAGAACUCAGGGUAGGAGGGGGAAUUGAAACAGUGAAUUGAUCAAGUUUUGCAUUUUUGGAUUCUGUCUAUCUGUUUCAACCGAGGGAGGCAUCCUAUAGGUGCUUUGGAUGUGUUAUGGCUCAUUACCUCCUUCAUCUUCUAAGAUUUAAUUUCACUUAUUCAGACUGUUUUUCUUACCUUCAAAACUUUCUGUACGCGAAGCUUCCUCAGAUGAUGAUGUUUGAAAAGCAGGUAGUGAAAAUUAUCCGAAAGGAGUUGAGAUGUUUACUUGUCUUGAAACUUAUCCGCCCCUG